RNAcentral lists this ribosomal RNA (217 nucleotides) under uncultured bacterium. Its description in RNAcentral is "partial 16S ribosomal RNA". It matches the Rfam family "Bacterial small subunit ribosomal RNA", at positions 524 to 734 of the family's 1533-position model. The record is from RNAcentral.
UACGUAGGGUGCGAGCGUUGUCCGGAAUUAUUGGGCGUAGAGAGCUCGUAGGCGGUUUGUCGCGUCUGCUGUGAAAACCUGAGGCUCAACCUCAGGCCUGCAGUCGAUACGGGCGGACUUGAGUACUGCAGGGGAGACUGGAAUUCCUGGUGUAGCGGUGGAAUGCGCAGACGUAUCAAGGGAGGGAACACCGGUGGGCGAAGGCGGGUCUCUGGGC